CAUAUAAAUCUUUAUAUGUUCUUAUGCGGAACCAAACCGCGUAGGCCUAGAACGCCACUUAAUUUAAGGAGAAACAAAAUG
Molecule: non-coding RNA, 81 nt
Submitted as: unclassified sequences
Source: Rfam